UGUAAGCUUGUUAUUUUAGCUGCUGUUGAACUACCUAGUUUUAUGAAGAUGUUCUCAGGAUAUACAGGUUUACAUAUUUUAUUCGUUCCUAAAAAUGAAUAUGCCGAUGAUGUUCUUUGUUUACUUUAUACCGAAGCAACUGCUAACGAUCAAUAUACUUUAGUAAAAGGUAAAGUAAAUUCUAGCACUUGUGAUACAACUGAUCCAAAAGUAAAUUGGUAAUAUUUAACUUGAAGUGGAAAUAUUAGAAAUCAGCCGAAUGCAAGAAAGCCAGUUGUCAUUAACUGGCUUUCUUGCAUGUGGA
RNAcentral lists this unclassified non-coding RNA (304 nucleotides) under Moritella viscosa. RNAcentral describes it as "putative sRNA". Lineage: Bacteria; Pseudomonadati; Pseudomonadota; Gammaproteobacteria; Alteromonadales; Moritellaceae. The record is from RNAcentral.